This 158-nucleotide small RNA is filed under the name pig gut metagenome. Its description in RNAcentral is "Clostridiales-1 RNA". It matches the Rfam family "Clostridiales-1 RNA". The record is from RNAcentral.
GAUUACAGUGUCAAAAGGUAUUUUCCACGUCAUGCUUGCAUGUAAGUGGAGAGAUACCUUAUUGACACGCCCACACAUGAGCAAGAAGUGGGGCGGGGGCCCCAUAGAUUGCGAAUGCGUGGCAGGAUUGUGGAAGUGCGCAGCACAAAACAAUCCGU